UACGUAGGGGGCAAGCGUUAUCCGGAAUGACUGGGCGUAAAGGGUGCGUAGGUGGUUUGGCAAGUUGGUAGCGUAAUCCCGGGGCUUAACUUCGGUGCUACUACCAAAACUGCUGGGCUUGAGUGCAGGAGGGGUGAAUGGAAUUCCUAGUGUAGCGGUGGAAUGCGUAGAUAUUAGGAAGAACACCAGCGGCGAAGGCGAUUCACUGGACUGUAACUGACACUGAGGCACGAAAGCGUGGGGAGCAAACAGG
Molecule: ribosomal RNA, 253 nt
Filed under: uncultured bacterium
Lineage: Bacteria
Description: partial 16S ribosomal RNA
Rfam family: Bacterial small subunit ribosomal RNA
Source: RNAcentral